CAGUCGCCGCGGGAAUACAGAGGGUGCGAGCGUUAAUCGGAUUUACUGGGCGUAAAGCGUGCGUAGGCGGCUAAUUGAGUCGGAUGUGAAAUCACCGAGCUUAACUUGGGAAUUGCAUUCGAUACUGGUUAGCUAGAGUGUGGGAGAGGAUGGUAGAAUUCCAGGUGUAGCGGUGAAAUGCGUAGAGAUCUGGAGGAAUACCGAUGGCGAAGGCAGCCAUCUGGCCUAACACUGACGCUGAGGUACGAAAGCAUGGGGAGCAAACAGGAUUAGAUACCCCCGUAGUCCCUGUCUCUUAUAC
This 301-nucleotide ribosomal RNA is filed under the name uncultured bacterium. RNAcentral's name for it is "partial 16S ribosomal RNA". It matches the Rfam family "Bacterial small subunit ribosomal RNA", at positions 509 to 807 of the family's 1533-position model. The record is from RNAcentral.